GGGAUAACAGUUAGAAAUGACUGCUAAUACCGCAUAAGCGCACAGGACCGCAUGGUCCGGUGUGAAAAACUCCGGUGGUAUGAGAUGGACCCGCGUCUGAUUAGCUGGUUGGCGGGGUAACGGCCCACCAAGGCGACGAUCAGUAGCCGACCUGAGAGGGUGGCCGGCCACAUUGGGACUGAGACACGGCCCAAACUCCUACGGGAGGCAGCAGUGGGGAAUAUUGCACAAUGGGGGAAACCCUGAUGCAGCAACGCCGCGUGAGUGAAGAAGUAUUUCGGUAUGUAAAGCUCUAUCAGCAGGGAAGAAAAAAGACGGUACCUGACUAAGAAGCCCCGGCUAACUACGUGCCAGCAGCCGCGGUAAUACGUAGGGGGCAAGCGUUAUCCGGAUUUACUGGGUGUAAAGGGAGCGUAGACGGCAUAGCAAGUCUGAAGUGAAAGCCCGUGGCUCAACCGCGGAACUGCUUUGGAAACUGUUAAGCUGGAGUACUGGAGAGGCAAGCGGAAUUCCUAGUGUAGCGGUGAAAUGCGUAGAUAUUAGGAGGAACACCAGUGGCGAAGGCGGCUUGCUGGACAGAGACUGACGUUGAGGCUCGAAAGCGUGGGGAGCAAACAGGAUUAGAUACCCUGGUAGUCCACGCGGUAAACGAUGAAUGCUAGGUGUUGGCGGGCAAAGCCCGUCGGUGCCGCCGCAAACGCAUUAAGCAUU
This 711-nucleotide ribosomal RNA is filed under the name uncultured bacterium. Its description in RNAcentral is "bacterial SSU rRNA". It matches the Rfam family "Bacterial small subunit ribosomal RNA", at positions 140 to 868 of the family's 1533-position model. The record is from RNAcentral.